GUCAAACGACAGGGGAGCGCACCAGCGCUGAGAGUGCGGGAAACCGCUGACCCUCACACCUGAUCCGGUUCGCACCGGCGUAGGGAGUCGAGUCUCAGGUGAA
RNAcentral lists this non-coding RNA (103 nucleotides) under Knoellia sp. RNAcentral's name for it is "TPP sequence". It matches the Rfam family "TPP riboswitch aptamer (THI element)". From Rfam's summary of the family: Vitamin B(1) in its active form thiamin pyrophosphate (TPP) is an essential coenzyme that is synthesised by coupling of pyrimidine and thiazole moieties in bacteria. The previously detected thiamin-regulatory element, thi box was extended, resulting in a new, highly conserved RNA secondary structure, the THI element, which is widely distributed in eubacteria and also occurs in some archaea. The record is from RNAcentral. Lineage: Bacteria; Bacillati; Actinomycetota; Actinomycetes; Micrococcales; Intrasporangiaceae.